GAUGAACGCUGGCGGCGUGCCUAAUACAUGCAAGUCGAGCGAACGGACGAGCAGCUUGCUUUUCUGAUGUUAGCGGCGGACGGGGGAGUAACACGUGGAUAACCUACCUAUAAGACUGGGAUAACUUCGGGAAACCGGAGCUAAUACCGGAUAAUAUUUUGAACCGCAUGGUUCAAAAGUGAAAUACGGUCUUGCUGUCACUUAUAGAUGGAUCCGCGCUGCAUUAGCUAGUUGGUAAGGUAACGGCUUACCAAGGCAACGAUGCAUAGCCGACCUGAGAGGCGGAUCGGCCACAUUGGAACUGGAACACGGUCCAUACUCCUGCGGGAGGGAGCAGUAGGGAAUCUUCCGCAGUGGGCGAAAGCCUGACGGAGCAACGCCGAGUGAGUGAUGAAGGUCUUCGGAUCGUAAAACUCUGUUAUUAGGUAAGAACAUAUGUGUAAGUAACUGUGCACAUCUUGACGGUACCUAAUCAGAAAGCCACGGCUAACUACGUG
Molecule: ribosomal RNA, 497 nt
Filed under: uncultured bacterium
Lineage: Bacteria
Description: partial 16S ribosomal RNA
Rfam family: Bacterial small subunit ribosomal RNA
Source: RNAcentral